This 1475-nucleotide ribosomal RNA is filed under the name Weissella confusa. RNAcentral's name for it is "bacterial SSU rRNA". The record is from RNAcentral. Lineage: Bacteria; Bacillati; Bacillota; Bacilli; Lactobacillales; Lactobacillaceae.
GGGGGGUACCGCUAAUACUGCUAGUCGAACGCUUUGUGGUUCAACUGAUUUGAAGAGCUUGCUCAGAUAUGACGAUGGACAUUGCAAAGAGUGGCGAACGGGUGAGUAACACGUGGGAAACCUACCUCUUAGCAGGGGAUAACAUUUGGAAACAGAUGCUAAUACCGUAUAACAAUGACAACCGCAUGGUUGUUAUUUAAAAGAUGGUUCUGCUAUCACUAAGAGAUGGUCCCGCGGUGCAUUAGCUAGUUGGUAAGGUAAUGGCUUACCAAGGCGAUGAUGCAUAGCCGAGUUGAGAGACUGAUCGGCCACAAUGGGACUGAGACACGGCCCAUACUCCUACGGGAGGCAGCAGUAGGGAAUCUUCCACAAUGGGCGAAAGCCUGAUGGAGCAACGCCGCGUGUGUGAUGAAGGGUUUCGGCUCGUAAAACACUGUUGUAAGAGAAGAAUGACAUUGAGAGUAACUGUUCAAUGUGUGACGGUAUCUUACCAGAAAGGAACGGCUAAAUACGKGCCAGCAGCCGCGGUAAUACGUAKGUUCCAAGCGUUAUCCGGAUUUAUUGGGCGUAAAGCGAGCSCAGACGGUUAUUUAAGUYUGAAGKGAAAGCCCUCAGCUCAACUGAGGAAUUGCUUUGGAAACUGGAUGACUUGAGUSCAGUAGAGGAAAGUGGAACUCCAUGKGUAGCGGUGAAAUGCGUAGAUAUAUGGAAGAACACCAGUGGCGAAGGCGGCUUUCUGGACUGUAACUGACGUUGAGGCUCGAAAGUGUGGGUAGCAAACAGGAUUAGAUACCCUGGUAGUCCACACCGUAAACGAUGAGUGCUAGGUGUUUGAGGGUUUCCGCCCUUAAGUGCCGCAGCUAACGCAUUAAGCACUCCGCCUGGGGAGUACGACCGCAAGGUUGAAACUCAAAGGAAUUGACGGGGACCCGCACAAGCGGUGGAGCAUGUGGUUUAAUUCGAAGCAACGCGAAGAACCUUACCAGGUCUUGACAUCCCUUGACAACUCCAGAGAUGGAGCGUUCCCUUCGGGGACAAGGUGACAGGUGGUGCAUGGUUGUCGUCAGCUCGUGUCGUGAGAUGUUGGGUUAAGUCCCGCAACGAGCGCAACCCUUAUUACUAGUUGCCAGCAUUCAGUUGGGCACUCUAGUGAGACUGCCGGUGACAAACCGGAGGAAGGUGGGGAUGACGUCAAAUCAUCAUGCCCCUUAUGACCUGGGCUACACACGUGCUACAAUGGCGUAUACAACGAGUUGCCAACCCGCGAGGGUGAGCUAAUCUCUUAAAGUACGUCUCAGUUCGGAUUGUAGGCUGCAACUCGCCUACAUGAAGUCGGAAUCGCUAGUAAUCGCGGAUCAGCACGCCGCGGUGAAUACGUUCCCGGGUCUUGUACACACCGCCCGUCACACCAUGAGAGUUUGUAACACCCAAAGCCGGUGGGGUAACCUUCGGGAGCCAGCCGUCUAAGGGGAACA